This 274-nucleotide ribosomal RNA is filed under the name uncultured bacterium. Its description in RNAcentral is "partial 16S ribosomal RNA". It matches the Rfam family "Bacterial small subunit ribosomal RNA", at positions 523 to 796 of the family's 1533-position model. The record is from RNAcentral.
AUACGGAGGGUGCAAGCGUUAUUGGGAAUCACUGGGCGUAAAGGGCGCGCAGGCGGUUUGGUAAGUCAGAUGUGAAAGCCCACGGCUCAACCGUGGAAGUGCAUUUGAAACUGUCAGACUUGAGUACUAGAGGGGAAAGUGGAAUUCCCGGUGUAGAGGUGAAAUUCGUAGAUAUCGGGAGGAAUACCGGUGGCGAAGGCGACUUUCUGGCUAGAUACUGACGCUGAGGCGCGAAAGCGUGGGGAGCAAACAGGAUUAGAUACCCUAGUAGUCC